Vicugna pacos (alpaca) is the source of this 599-nucleotide non-coding RNA. The record is from RefSeq and is a predicted model, not a curated record. Lineage: Eukaryota; Metazoa; Chordata; Mammalia; Artiodactyla; Camelidae.
AGUGCAGACUUGAUGGUGCAUGGUUGGGCUGGGGCCAUGACUCCACCCUUUCCCUCCCCACUGUUCCCCGGCCUCUGCGGGCUGAAACUACAGCCUCUUUCACCCAUUCUGAGCCCAGUGCUUCCUGUAAUUAUGAGGUAAAGCAGUGAGAACAUCCUGGAAGCUGGCCCUGGCCUGGAGGUGCGCACGGAGGACAGAGCGCACGGCCCUCGGCCUGCCACUUGGCUCUUUCGGGUUCUAGCCGCACUGGGGGCUGAUGGAGGAACCUGAGCUCCUUGCCUUCAUGGGCGCCGCCGCACAGACUGCUCAGGACUCUGCAAAACUCAUCAUCUGGCCGGUUGCCGAGUCUCCUUAAAUCCACUCUGAGUUGCGUGUUACUUCAUCCUCCUGGCACUUUUGAGGGCUGCCUUCCUGUUUGCGGUCGUCUCAUCCUGACGUCGGUCAGCGCCGUGCUGGGCUCCGCCAUGUUGGAGCCGGGGGCGAAAGGGGAAAUCAGUCAUACCGAGCCUGUCUUGACUGGGAAAAUUUGAUAUUUCAUUCAUCCAUCAUGGAUAUUUCGCAGUAGUUUGGUUUUUAAAAAGUAUUGCAUUGAAGUAUGA